UACAGAGGUCCCGAGCGUUGUUCGGACUCACUGGGCGUAAAGGGUGCGUAGGUGGUGAGGUAAGUCGGAUGUGAAAGCUCCAAGCUCAACUUGGAAAUGGCAUUGGAAACUACCUUGCUAGAGGGUUUGAGGGGGGACUGGAAUACUUGGUGUAGCAGUGAAAUGCGUAGAUAUCAAGUGGAACACCAGUGGCGAAGGCGAGUCCCUGGAAAACUCCUGACACUGAGGCACGAAAGCUAGGGGAGCAAACAGG
RNAcentral lists this ribosomal RNA (253 nucleotides) under uncultured bacterium. RNAcentral describes it as "partial 16S ribosomal RNA". It matches the Rfam family "Bacterial small subunit ribosomal RNA", at positions 524 to 776 of the family's 1533-position model. The record is from RNAcentral.